RNAcentral lists this ribosomal RNA (255 nucleotides) under uncultured bacterium. RNAcentral describes it as "partial 16S ribosomal RNA". It matches the Rfam family "Bacterial small subunit ribosomal RNA", at positions 524 to 777 of the family's 1533-position model. The record is from RNAcentral.
UACGUAGGUGGCGAGCGUUGUCCGGAUUUACUGGGCGUAAAGAGCGCGCAGGCGGUCGUACAAGUCGCGUGUGAAAGCCCCCGGCUCAACUGGGGAGGGUCACGCGAUACUGUUCGACUCGAAGGCAGGAGAGGGAAGCGGAAUUCCCGGUGUAGUGGUGAAAUGCGUAGAUAUCGGGAGGAACACCAGUGGCGAAGGCGGCUUCCUGGCCUGUUCUUGACGCUGAGGCGCGAAAGCUAGGGUACGCAAACGGGG